Molecule: non-coding RNA, 382 nt
Organism: Podarcis muralis (Common wall lizard)
Lineage: Eukaryota; Metazoa; Chordata; Lepidosauria; Squamata; Lacertidae
Source: RefSeq, a predicted model, not a curated record
CCCCCCAUUAGGAACACCUCAAGGGUGAUUCCGGAGCCGGGGGAGACUUUGGCUGCUGCCUCUGUGCCGGACCGGUCGGGGAGGAGCCCAGACUCCCGCAUGGAGGAAUUCAGGGUGGGGCAGUUAAUAAGAUCAGCAAGGAGAAGGUUCCGCUUGGCAGCCGCCGCGUCCCAGGAGGGCCUGGAGCCGAGACAACGGCCUCUCGCCUCACAGGGUAUGGCUGGUGCACCGCUGGGGCUGCUGCCGAAGCCCCCUCCCCGCAAAUAAUGCAGGCCACGUCGUGUAUGCAACCGCCUGUACAUGAAAGCGCGCCCCUUCUCCGACGGCCUGGCCGAGGACAUCGACAAAGGCGACGUCUCCGCCCGCCAGGAGCUGAAGACAC